Molecule: ribosomal RNA, 500 nt
Filed under: uncultured bacterium
Lineage: Bacteria
Description: partial 16S ribosomal RNA
Rfam family: Bacterial small subunit ribosomal RNA
Source: RNAcentral
AUUGAACGCUGGCGGCAUGCCUUACACAUGCAAGUCGAACGGCAGCACGGGAGCAAUCCUGGUGGCGAGUGGCGAACGGGUGAGUAAAGUAUCGGAACGUGCCCAGUCGUGGGGGAUAACGUAGCGAAAGUUACGCUAAUACCGCAUACGAUCUAUGGAUGAAAGCGGGGGAUCGCAAGACAUCGCGCGAUUGGAGCGGCCGAUAUCAGAUUAGGUAGUUGGUGGGGUAAAGGCCCACCAAGCCGACGAUCUGUAGCUGGUCUGAGAGGACGACCAGCCACACUGAGACUGAGACACGGCCCAGACUCCUACGGGAGGCAGCAGUGGGGAAUUUUGGACAAUGGGCGAAAGCCUGAUCCAGCCAUGCCGCGUGCAGGAUGAAGGCCUUCGGGUUGUAAACUGCUUUUGUACGGAACGAAAAGGACUGCCCUAAUACGGUGGUCCCAUGACGGUACCGUAAGAAUAAGCACCGGCUAACUACGUGCCAGCCGCCGCCGUAA